This 3448-nucleotide unclassified non-coding RNA is filed under the name Leishmania donovani. RNAcentral describes it as "gene:LdHU3.34.5100(CDS-product:hypothetical_prote in_conserved)". Lineage: Eukaryota; Euglenozoa; Kinetoplastea; Trypanosomatida; Trypanosomatidae. The record is from RNAcentral.
AGAACGCACGAGCGGGGACGCCUUGCAGCCCGUUUCUUUCUUUUUUUUUUGCGGAAUGGUCAUCUUGGUGCGUGGGCAAGCCUUUGCGACACCCCUGUUUCCCUUCCUCUCUCUUGAUACGCACCCGAGUUUUGUUCAAUGUGGGGUGGACUCAAGAAGCGCACCCACUAUGGCGACGUGUUCAGGCGCUGGAGUGCCUGUCAGGGACUGGAUGUCCUGCGCACGGCGCUGUACAAGGAGCCACGCCCGUGGUACAUUGCCUACACACUCCAUCAGGCAAAUCACCUGCUGCAAGAUCAUCACUGUGCGCGUCUGCUAGCAUGGAGCACGUCCAUUGUGGAGCUCCGGCCGAGUCUCGCUAGCAAGCAGGAAGCGUAUCGAUAUACGCAGGAGAUGUUCAGCAUUUUUGUGCGGCAUCACAAAGUGGGACAGCAGAGCCUGUACGAGUACAUGCGACUCUGCGCGGUCGGCAAAGACCUUAGCUCGGCGUUCGACUGGUUCAAGUACUGGCAAGAAGCGCAGCUUGGGGCGCACGACACGCUGAGCUCGCUCAGCUGGUUGUUGCGAGUGGCGGCCCUCUCGCCAAACGACGAGCGCGUAGAGGACAUGGCGCUGACCGUGCUGGAGCUCUACACAGAACGCUUUGCGCUCCCCUCAGCAGACACCACAGCGAAAAACGCGGCGGCAACAACAGCAGCUGCCUCCCCUUCAUUGACAACUACGUUGCGUCAUUUUCAGCCUACCACUCCUGUCGAGGAAGCUGAGCUGCGGCGUUUUUUUUGUCUUUUUCAGCAACUGGCGCCGCGAGUGGAGGCGAACGCGCAAGUCCGCUCGUUUUUGGAGACACUGCCUGUCUCUGCUACAGAGGCUCUCGCGGAUUGCGCUGUCACUGGCUGGCCAACCGAUAGCGCACACCGUAUUUUCCCUCAGUUGGAGCAACACAUCAGCAGUGGCCUCACGAAGGUCUGUCUUGGCAAAAGCAGCAAUGCGCCUGGAGACGAGCCGCGGCGCAUUGGCGGCGAUUCUCUUCCACGGCUGCGUGACUCGCUCCUGCAUCCCUCCUUCCUCGCAAAACUCGAAGACAGCGCCGCGCGGCACAACGCUGCGGCGGUGGUGGCUCUGGUUGAGGACUACGAGGAGCACGUCCGGCAUGAGCGCGAACGCACGGGCAGCGGCCGUGUUCCGGCGGUGCGCAAGCGCACUAGCGAGGGGGAGGUGUGGCGUUUGUACGCGGACCCGACAUCGAUGGCUUUCCGCCGCAGGCUCGUCGAGGAAGGCGGGGUGACACCGGAGCUGUAUCACUACCUCAUCGCCGCACUGGCAGCUACCCAACCCUCGGCAGCUUUGCGCACAUUGGCACGAAUGGAGGAGGCGCAACUGCGGCCGCUCGAUGUAACGCGUGCGACGGUCCUGGUGGCUGUUCAGGACUGUGCCGAGGAUCGCCUUCGGCUCUUCCAGCAGCAGCUGGAAGAAAUGCGCCUGCGCGCUCGCCUGGAUGAGGACUACGAUAUCGUGAAGGUGGUGGAGGCGUACUGGAAAUACGAUUACGUGGACUUCUUUCACUACCGCAACGCGCUUGAAAAGAAAGAGUUCUACGAAUUUCUUCUCCACCGGCUAGGGCCACAGGCGCUUCAGCAGCUGCUUCUCGAUGCCAAAGCACACGGACCGACAGCAACCCCGGAGGACUUGGUGCUUCUCGACGAGGACCUGUGCACGGCCUCGUAUCGCUACUUUCGGGCUCAAGUCGGCCGAAGCGCGGUGGAGCGCGCCCUGGACGACAUCAGCACCCACAUGCCAAAGCUGGACAUGGGGCUUGUCGGCACGCUGCCGCACUUUGGCGAUUACUGCAUGGACGGCGACGAUAGCAUCGCCCAUAGCACGGCCGCGCUUCAGGGUCUCGUGCAGCCUUACGAAACCAUCUACGUCCUGGACACCUCCUUCGUAGAGACCUCCGAAGCGUUUCUCGCGGUGGGUGCCGCGUCGCCGUCGCUGGUGCUCGUCCCAUACCUGUGUCUCUUGCAGCUCGCGGAGUCGGUCGCCAACGCCGACCGCUUCGUCACUUUUGACCCGGCACUGCAGCAAAUGACACGCGCGGAGCCGUUUCUAGCCUCGCAGCGACUGCGCGGGCUGUUUGCUAUGAUUUCCGCCCCUGCCGCUUCGCGACAGGCAGGCGCGGGGCGGCGCACGCGUGUCCUGCACUUCACUGAGUGCAUUUGUGCUAAUCAAGUGGACCAGAAAAUGCUCGACGCCCUCGGUCUUUCCCCGUCCUCCAGCGACAACGAUCAGCUGCUUCUCGUCCUAGCAAUGCUCAGCUCACUCAAGGCGCCAAAGACUCGCCUCGUCUUGUGCACCGACGAUGCACAGCUCGUCGAGCAGCUGGAAUGCUUGCGAGGCUCCUCGUUAUUUGGGUCCGCAGUGGACGUGAUUCGCACGGCGCCGCCGGAGAAGCUCGAUUUGGAGAAAGAUCUCAUCAACGACAACCCUGUGCUGAAAGGCGCCGACGAGUGGGACUCGGCCGAAGCGUUCGAGCCCCGGCUGCGCAUUGCCGCUGACUUGCGUGCGCUGAGUGAAGACAAGGAGGACUCCGCGGUGGGUGAGCCACAGACGGUCGCCGAUUCGACCGUCACCGGCAGAGACGCGGUGAGUUCCUCUCAUGGCGAGGCGGCGGCGGGCGUGGAAGUCGGCGCGUCGUCGAACGUGCCGAUGAAGGUCCCAGUCACCGUUAGCGGCGGCAUAGAUUCCCCUUGGCUGGAGCUUCUGAAGGAGGAUGAGGAAGAGGACGCCGUGGAAGUCGCGAGGGCCGCACCUGCCUCUACACGAGAGGUUGCAUCAACAAGUGCGACAGCACCGCCUCCCUUACCGGGCAUGUCACCAGUGGAACAGGAACGCCGCGCCCGCUUAAUGGACCUAUAUGAGACCCCAUUUGACGUUGUGCCCGUUGGCGUGCGAAUGGAAGAGGCCUCGACUGUCGGGUCGGUCUUUACAGAGUUCGACUCGUUGGAGCCGGAGCUGCGGGAGGCACGCGCGGCGGAUCGUGCGGCGGCGCGCUCGUCGCUCUCCCUCGAGGACAGUAAGGCGAGCAAACGCGGCGGCGUAAAAACUCGCAGGCGUCGCCGCUCGGUGCUCGAGGAGGAGAUGCUUGCCAAUCGCGGCGCAUCCAACAAGGACCGCUUUCAAAUGGCGCGCCAACUGUCCAACUGGAGCGGCGGUCGCGUCCCCUUCAACCUGCGAUACCGCGUGGUGGAGGCCAACGUUCGUGAUCCACGUAACUCGCACCUGCGCAGCGCCUACGAGGCAGCACUGGCAAAGAAACGGUUCAGUUUUAAGCAGAAGCACGGUUAAUCGUGGGCGCGAGAGCGCUGUAGCCCUGGAGAGCACUUUCGGCUCGUGCUUGUGCCAGAGCUGUAGGCCAUGCAUGACGACUGUUACUAUCAUCUCACUGUACACU